Molecule: ribosomal RNA, 496 nt
Filed under: uncultured bacterium
Lineage: Bacteria
Description: partial 16S ribosomal RNA
Rfam family: Bacterial small subunit ribosomal RNA
Source: RNAcentral
GAUGAACGCUGGCGGCGUGCCUAAUACAUGCAAGUCGAGCGAACAGACGAGGAGCUUGCUCCUCUGACGUUAGCGGCGGACGGGUGAGUAACACGUGGAUAACCUACCUAUAAGACUGGGAUAACUUCGGGAAGCCGGAGCUAAUACCGGAUAAUAUAUUGAACCGCAUGGUUCAAUAGUGAAAGACGGUUUUGCUGUCACUUAUAGAUGGAUCCGCGCCGCAUUAGCUAGUUGGUAAGGUAACGGCUUACCAAGGCGACGAUGCGUAGCCGACCUGAGAGGGGGACGGCCCACCCUGGACCUGGGACCCGGUCCAGCCCCCUACGGGAGGCAGCGGUGGGGAAUCUUCCGCAAUGGGCGAAACCCUGACGGAGCAACGCCGCGUGAGUGAUGAAGGUUUUCGGUUCGUAAACCUCUUUUUUUAGGGAAGAAAAAAUGUGUAAGUAACUAUGCCCGUCUGGACGGUACCUAACCAAAAAGCCACGGCUAACUACGU